This 301-nucleotide ribosomal RNA is filed under the name uncultured bacterium. RNAcentral's name for it is "partial 16S ribosomal RNA". It matches the Rfam family "Bacterial small subunit ribosomal RNA", at positions 509 to 807 of the family's 1533-position model. The record is from RNAcentral.
CAGUCGCCGCGGUAAUACGUAGGGUGCAAGCGUUGUCCGGAAUUAUUGGGCGUAAAGAGCUCGUAGGCGGUUUGUCGCGUCUGCUGUGAAAACUGGAGGCUCAACCUCCAGCCUGCAGUGGGUACGGGCAGACUAGAGUGCGGUAGGGGAGAUUGGAAUUCCUGGUGUAGCGGUGGAAUGCGCAGAUAUCAGGAGGAACACCGAUGGCGAAGGCAGAUCUCUGGGCCGUAACUGACGCUGAGGAGCGAAAGCGUGGGGAGCGAACAGGAUUAGAUACCCGCGUAGUCCCUGUCUCUUAUAC